GAUGAACGCUAGCGGCAGGCCUAAUACAUGCAAGUCGAGGGGUAUCCCGCUUUCGGGCGGGAGAGACCGGCGCACGGGUGCGUAACGCGUAUGCAACCUACCCAUAUCUGGGGGAUAGCCCGGAGAAAUCCGGAUUAACACCGCAUAAAAUCACAGUACGGCAUCGUACAAUGGUCAAAUAUUGAUAGGAUAUGGAUGGGCAUGCGUGUCAUUAGCUGGUUGGCGGGGUACCGGCCCACCAAGGCGACGAUGACUAGGGGAGCUGAGAGGAUGGCACCCCACACUGGUACGGGGACACGGACAAGACUCCUAAGGGAGGCAGCAGUAAGGAAUAUUGGUCAAUGGGCGGAAGCCUGAACCAGCCAUGCCGCGUGCAGGAAGACGGCCCUCUGGGUUGUAAACUGCUUUUAUUCGGGAAUAAACCUGCAUACGUGUAUGCAGCUGAACGUACCGAAGGAAUAAGGAUCGGCUAACUCCGUGCCAGCAGCCGCCGUAA
This 496-nucleotide ribosomal RNA is filed under the name uncultured bacterium. RNAcentral's name for it is "partial 16S ribosomal RNA". It matches the Rfam family "Bacterial small subunit ribosomal RNA", at positions 28 to 523 of the family's 1533-position model. The record is from RNAcentral.